UGAGCAUGUUGAUCUCUUUGUGCC
Molecule: non-coding RNA, 24 nt
Filed under: Mus musculus (house mouse)
Lineage: Eukaryota; Metazoa; Chordata; Mammalia; Rodentia; Muridae
Also listed under: 1 other name
Source: RNAcentral